UAACGCGUGGGUAACCGUGCCUCAUACAGGGGGAUAACAGUUAGAAAUGACUGCUAAUACCGCAUAAGCGCACAGUGCUGCAUGGCACAGUGUGAAAAACUCCGGUGGUAUGAGAUGGACUCGCGUCUGAUUAGCUAGUUGGUGGGGUAACGGCCUACCAAGGCGACGAUCAGUAGCCGGCCUGAGAGGGUGACCGGCCACAUUGGGACUGAGACACGGCCCAA
This 224-nucleotide ribosomal RNA is filed under the name uncultured bacterium. RNAcentral describes it as "partial 16S ribosomal RNA". It matches the Rfam family "Bacterial small subunit ribosomal RNA", at positions 111 to 334 of the family's 1533-position model. The record is from RNAcentral.